CCUACGGGGUGCUGCAGUGGGGAAUAUUGGACAAUGGGCGAAAGCCUGAUCCAGCCAUGCCGCGUGUGUGAAGAAGGCCUUCGGGUUGUAAAGCACUUUCAGUGGGGAAGAAAGCCUUGGGGCUAAUACCCUCGAGGAAGGACAUCACCCACAGAAGAAGCACCGGCUAACUCCGUGCCAGCAGCCGCGGUAAUACGGAGGGUGCGAGCGUUAAUCGGAAUUACUGGGCGUAAAGCGCGCGUAGGCGGUCUGAUAAGCCGGUUGUGAAAGCCCCGGGCUCAACCUGGGAACGGCAUCCGGAACUGUCAGGCUAGAGUGCAGGAGAGGAAGGUAGAAUUCCCGGUGUAGCGGUGAAAUGCGUAGAGAUCGGGAGGAAUACCAGUGGCGAAGGCGGCCUUCUGGACUGACACUGACGCUGAGGUGCGAAAGCGUGGGUAGUAAACAGGAUUAGAUACCCUAGUAGUC
Molecule: ribosomal RNA, 465 nt
Filed under: Vreelandella stevensii
Lineage: Bacteria; Pseudomonadati; Pseudomonadota; Gammaproteobacteria; Oceanospirillales; Halomonadaceae
Description: partial 16S ribosomal RNA
Rfam family: Bacterial small subunit ribosomal RNA
Source: RNAcentral